This 71-nucleotide transfer RNA is filed under the name Loxodonta africana (African savanna elephant). It matches the Rfam family "tRNA". From Rfam's summary of the family: Transfer RNA (tRNA) molecules are approximately 80 nucleotides in length. Their secondary structure includes four short double-helical elements and three loops (D, anti-codon, and T loops). Lineage: Eukaryota; Metazoa; Chordata; Mammalia; Proboscidea; Elephantidae. The record is from Rfam by way of RNAcentral.
GCAGUGGUGGUUUAGUGGUACAGUUCUCGCCUUCCACGUGGGAGACCCGGGUUCAAUUCCUGCUCAGUGUU